This 123-nucleotide ribosomal RNA is filed under the name Pteropus alecto (black flying fox). Lineage: Eukaryota; Metazoa; Chordata; Mammalia; Chiroptera; Pteropodidae. The record is from RNAcentral.
GGUCAUGGCCAUGCCACUCUGAACAUGCCUGAUCCCAUCUGAUCUCGGAAACUAAGCAGGGUCGGGCCUGGUUAGUACUUGGAUGGGAGACCACUUAGGAAUACCAAAAAGGUUCUAUCAGAG